This is a non-coding RNA of Mycena amicta, 85 nucleotides long. The record is from the annotation of a GenBank genome assembly. Lineage: Eukaryota; Fungi; Basidiomycota; Agaricomycetes; Agaricales; Mycenaceae.
GCCAUUGUGGCGAAAUGGUUAUCGCGUCGUUUUCCUACUGCUAGCGCUAAGACGAAGGCUGUGGGUUCGAGUCCCACCAGUGGUU